Molecule: long non-coding RNA, 553 nt
Organism: Dreissena polymorpha
Lineage: Eukaryota; Metazoa; Mollusca; Bivalvia; Myida; Dreissenidae
Exons: 4
Source: RefSeq, a predicted model, not a curated record
GAUAACACGAGUAAAACAUGCACGGCAAUUAGAAAAGGAGUAUGAAAAGGAGGGUCAAGGCAGCUUCAUUUACUAUUUUAAAUACAGAGACAACUCUUGCUGGUAACUACAAAUUAUCUUUUCUUUGCACAUCAAACGUUUAAAUCACGCCAUGAGAAGAAGAAUUAUCUUUAGUUUUUUCACCAUAAUAAUUAAAUAUGGCAUGCGCGUUAUUUUAGUUAAAAGCACCAGACGUGUUUAUUUAAAUGUCAUAUUCAGCAUUGACGCUAACGAUAUAUUUCAUGAGGGUCGAAUGAUAAAUGAUGCCGAAAAUGGAGACGCAAAACAAUAUUGUGUAAUGAAAAUAGUUGAAGUCAACCAAACUCCCCAUCUAUGCACUUUCGCCGACAGAGACAUUGCAAUUGGCGAGGAACUCCGAUAUGAUUAUGGAGUACCAACACUUCCAUGGAGAAAGAAAUGCACGGAGCAAAAAAUGGAAAUGUACGGAACAAAAAAGGGCAACACAAUGACUACUAGAUCUACGGACAGCCAGGAACCAGGACAAACAACAUCC